UACGAAGGUCCCAAGCGUUGUUCGGAAUCACUGGGCGUAAAGGGUGCGUAGGCGGCAAUGUAAGUCAGAUGUGAAAUUUCUGGGCUCAACCUGGAAACUGCAUCCGAUACUGCACUGCUAGAGUGGCGGAGAGGAGUCUGGAAUUCACGGUGUAGCAGUGAAAUGCGUAGAGAUCGUGAGGAACACUAGUGGCGAAGGCGAGACUCUGGACGCUUACUGACGCUGAGGCACGAAGGCCAGGGGAGCAAAAGGG
Molecule: ribosomal RNA, 253 nt
Filed under: uncultured bacterium
Lineage: Bacteria
Description: partial 16S ribosomal RNA
Rfam family: Bacterial small subunit ribosomal RNA
Source: RNAcentral